AGUUGAAUUAUACAAAUAUGUAAUUAAACUGUCCCACCUGCCUCUCUUCCACCAGGCUCGAGUAAUGCUAUGAUAGGCAAAAGGCAGUGCCACACACCUGUGUUCCCUGAUGAGUCCAGGGAGGACGUUCUGGUUGGCAUCCAACAACUUAGUCACAAAGGGGUUCAUAGCUGUGGUAUGACAGGUUAUCAUGGCCCUGGGCAGACAUGGCCACAGCAAAAGCU
Non-coding RNA from Microtus ochrogaster (prairie vole), 224 nucleotides. The record is from Ensembl. NCBI's taxonomy places the organism in Eukaryota, Metazoa, Chordata, Mammalia, Rodentia, Cricetidae.